RNAcentral lists this ribosomal RNA (307 nucleotides) under uncultured bacterium. RNAcentral describes it as "bacterial SSU rRNA". It matches the Rfam family "Bacterial small subunit ribosomal RNA", at positions 29 to 334 of the family's 1533-position model. The record is from RNAcentral.
AACGAACGCUGGCGGCGUGCCUAACACAUGUAAGUCGAGCGCGAACGGUUCCUUCGGGGACCUAGUAGAGCGGCGAACGGGUGAGUAACGCGUGGGUGAUCUGCCCUCUGGUGGGGAAUAACCACGGGAAACUGUGGCUAAUGCCGCAUUAGCUCUACGGAGGAAAGCAUGCCUCUGCUUCAAGCAUGCGCCAGAGGAGGAGCCCGCGUCCCAUUAGCUAGUUGGUGGGGUAAUGGCCUACCAAGGCAACGAUGGGUAGCCGGCCUGAGAGGGUGAACGGCCACACUGGGACUGAGACACGGCCCAG